Molecule: non-coding RNA, 640 nt
Organism: Rattus norvegicus (Norway rat)
Lineage: Eukaryota; Metazoa; Chordata; Mammalia; Rodentia; Muridae
Source: the annotation of a RefSeq genome assembly
CCUUGCCUUGCUGUAGUGAGAUAAAAGCUCAGCUGUACUCUUGCUUUCAGUGAUUCCACUUCUAAUUUCAUCUCCUGAAAACGAUGAGUCCUGUCCAGUCCCUGUUUUUAUUAUUGCUUUGGAUUCUGGGAACCAAAGGUGAUGUUGUGCUGACCCAGACUCCAUCCACAUUAUCGGCUACCAUUGGACAAUCGGUCUCCAUCUCUUGCAGGUCAAGUCAGAGUCUCUUAGAUAGUGCUGGAAACACCUAUUUAUAUUGGUAUCUACAGAGGCCUGGCCAAUCUCCACAGCUUCUAAUUUAUUUGGUAUCCAACCUGGGAUCUGGGGUCCCCAACAGGUUCAGUGGCAGUGGGUCAGGAACAGAUUUCACACUCAAAAUCAGUGGAGUGGAGGCUGAGGAUUUGGGAGUUUAUUACUGCAUGCAAGCUACCCAUGCUCCUCCCACAGUGAUACAGACCCUAACAAAAAAUGUCUUGCUUGAGGUAGCCCAGCUGCUAAUGUGCUGUUUAUAUGGAGAGGAGCAGAACACUCUGUGUCUGUGCAAGAGGAAGAGCAUGGGCAACAUGACUAAUUGUUGACAACUGAGAACUCUGGCUACACUCAUCUGGGUGGAUGAGUGGUUUAUUUAGACUUCCAAGUG